Molecule: long non-coding RNA, 1413 nt
Organism: Triticum aestivum (bread wheat)
Lineage: Eukaryota; Viridiplantae; Streptophyta; Magnoliopsida; Poales; Poaceae
Exons: 3
Source: RefSeq, a predicted model, not a curated record
UCGAACCACCUCGGUGCCCCCUCUCCCGCGAUCGCCCGCGCCAUCCGUCUCUCCCUCUCUAUCCUCCCUGCUAUCUCCGACACCGCCGCUCCAGUAGCCAGGCUGUCGCCAUCUCACAUCCUGCAACUUAUUUGGGCGCAGAUGUCGCAGUCUGCCGAGGAUGACGCCCAGUUGGAGCGCCGCCUCACCGCCUGCAAGCACCGCCGCCACCUUCGCUUCCCGGACCAAGAUGGAAUAGGCGCCGCUGCCUAGGCCGAUGAUCUGCCUGCGUGCGCCCGCUGCUUAGGGGAGCAUCUGCAUCAACCUGCCACGGUGUCCAUCGAUCUUCCAUGCGUCCGCCUAACCCCAACCUGCAGAACGGCUGUUGCAUCUUCUCUAUGCAUUAUUCCCCAACUCUCAUCACCCUUGCAUGGAAACCGUGUCCUCGUACCCUCCUUAGCCUCCUGAUCUUCCUCUCCCAUCUCUCAAGCUCCAACAAUGGCUGCUUGCUGACUUUUGUACUCGGCACCUCCACCGCCGUGUGGAAUUUUUUAACUCACAUGUCAAGCAUUUUCUAUGAGCGUCCUUCUCCUUUUAUCAAUGCUUGAAAAAUGAUUACCAACGAGUGGUGUUUUAUUUGCAGAUAUGAUGAUUUAGGCAAUACUGCUAGGAAGAAAAAGAUGAUGAGCUAUCAACUCAGAUCUGAUGGUGCAAGUCCAAUUGGUGGCUGGCCUUUUGUUGUGUUAGUUGUUGGAUGCUGGCUCGUUAUAAUUUUCCUUCUUUUCAAUUGUGCUCUCACGAGUCCUAUAAUGUUUAUAUGGUAACCUGAUCUCAGCUUCAUAUAAAUCGAUUUUUCAGAAGUUACUAUCAUCCUUGGAUUUGUCAGGAAUGGGAAUAACUAGCUAUGAAAGGGAUAGGAAAUGACAUGGAUAAUGGGCUCAAGAAGUUCACUUAUUUGCGGUUCCGUGACUGGUUGGACGAUGCUGUCGCCUAGCAAUGGCAAGGACUGAUCACCUGCUGCUGCACUAAGUCACUAUUGGUCAAGACCUUGAGUUGCAAGCAUAAUUCAUGGGCUUAUGGAAAACUGCAUGUCUUACAAGUUUUGAAGCUUGACAUGCUUCAGGAAAUUUGAAGACGAUGAAGCCAGGAUAGUGGUGACAUUUCUCUAAUAUGGGCAUACAACUUCAUUAAAGGUUGACAGAAGAUGUUUGCUUGCCCCUCCAUAAAUUGACCCUGACAUACGGAUUGAGGGUCUGAAUCCACAUAGUGGUAGACGUACUCUACCAAAUGUAUCGUCUGAUAGACAGUUCAAUGGUUGGUGUACUUCAAGAUUUAUUAGAAUCAGAGUAAAUACUUGAUCAUUUUGGUAUGUCUUAUUAUGCUUCACAUUCCUGUGUAAACUUGAUUUUCCUCAUGUAUUAUAUGGGCAUGCUC